RNAcentral lists this ribosomal RNA (1736 nucleotides) under Exochella cf. jullieni RJO-2020. RNAcentral's name for it is "SSU rRNA". It matches the Rfam family "Eukaryotic small subunit ribosomal RNA". The record is from RNAcentral. Lineage: Eukaryota; Metazoa; Bryozoa; Gymnolaemata; Cheilostomatida; Exochellidae.
AUCUGGUUGAUCCUGCCAGUAAUCAUAUGCUUGUCUCAAAGAUUAAGCCAUGCAUGUCUAAGUACAAGCCGCGUACGCGGCGAGACUGCGGACGGCUCAUUAAAUCGGUUAUGAAUCCACCGGGGACAGACUGACCCGUGGAUAACGUGCGGUAACUCCGGUGCUAAUACAUGCAACAAGGCUCCGACCCCGUCCUCGGGCGGGGGAAGGGCGCACUUAUUAGGCGAAAACCAAUCGCUCGCUCGCGGGCGUUGGUGGACGACACCCGAGUAAUUGCCGCCGAUCGCACGGCCUCCGAGCCGGCGACACCUACACUGAGUUUCUGAUCUAUCAUGCUGACGACGGUUGGUGCUAUGCCAACCGUGGCGUUAACGGAUAACAGAGAAUCUGGGUUCGAUUCUGGAGAGGCCGCAUGAGAAACGGCGACCACUUCUAAGGAAGGCAGCAGGCACGCAAAUUACCCACUUCGGACACCGAGAGGUAGUGACGAACAAUACCGAUGCGGCGCACUUACGUGUCGCCGUAAUCGGAAUGAGUACACUUCAAAUCCUUUAACGAGGAUCCACUGGAGGGCAAGCCUGGUGCCAGCAGCCGCGGUAAUUCCAGCUCCAGCAGCGUAUAUUUAUAUUGCUGCGUUUAAAAAGCUCGUAGUUGAAGCGUCAGACGCGGGAGGGCGGACGGCCGCACAGGUCGCUCUCGCCCGACCGAGCCAGGCGCAGAGGGCGCGCGUCGCUUGCACUUCGCCGUGUGAGCGCGCCGCCGCUGCACGUUCACCUUGAAGAAAUUGAACCGCUUAGAGGGGGCGAGCAGCUUGGACAGCUCAGCAUGGUAUGAUGGAACAUGGGCUCGUACUCAUUUUGUUGGUUAGAGAGUCGGCGAGCCAAUGAUUAACAGGGACUGCCGGGGGCAUUCGUACUCGGACGGGAGAGGUGAAAUUCAAGGAUCGUCCGAAGACGCCCUACUGCGAAAGCAUUUGCCAAGAAUGUUUUCAUUAAUCAAGAACGAAAGUCAGAGGUGCGAAGGCGAUCAGAUACCGCCGUAGUUCUGACCGUAAACGAUGCCGACUGGCAAUUGGGCGCACUUCUGUCGAAGUUGCCGCCAGCAGUAUUGCCCGGGAAACCAAAGUCAUUGGGUUCCGGGGGGAGUAUGGUUGCAAAGCUGAAACUUAAAGGAAUUGACGGAAGGGCACCACCAGGAGUGGAGCCUGCGGCUUAAUUUGACUCAACACGGGAAACCUCACCCGGCCCGAACACUGUUAUGACAGACAGGUUGAGAGCUCUUUCUCGAUUCAGUGGUUGGUGGUGCAUGGCCGUUCUUAGUUCGUGGAGCGAUCUGUCUGGUUAAUUCCGAUAACGAACGAGACUCUUGCCUGCUAAAUAGACGGCGCCGACUCGGCACGGCGACCGUUUGCUUCUUAGAGGGACAAGCGGCUUUUAGCCGCGUGAAGCCGAGAGCAAUAACAGGUCAGUGAUGCCCUCAGAUGUUCGGGGCCGCACGCGCGCUACACUGUUUGCAUCAGCGUGUUUCUCCCGCGCCGGCUGGCGUGGGCAACCCGUUGAACCGCAAACGUGCUAGGGAUCGGAGAUUGCAAUUGUUCUCCGUGAACGAGGAAUUCCUUGUACUGGCGAGUCAUCAGCUCGCGGGGAAUCUGUCCCUGCCCUUUGUACACACCGCCCGUCGCUACUACCGAUUGAGUGGUUUAGUGAGGCUCACGGACUGCGCGCGGCACACGGCGC